RNAcentral lists this ribosomal RNA (457 nucleotides) under uncultured bacterium. RNAcentral describes it as "partial 16S ribosomal RNA". It matches the Rfam family "Bacterial small subunit ribosomal RNA", at positions 338 to 795 of the family's 1533-position model. The record is from RNAcentral.
CCUACGGGAGGCAGCAGUGGGGAAUAUUGCACAAUGGGGGAAACCCUGAUGCAGCGACGCCGCGUGAGUGAAGAAGUAUUUCGGUAUGUAAAGCUCUAUCAGCAGGGAAGAAACCCACCCUCCGGGGUGGCUGACGGUACCUGACUAAGAAGCCCCGGCUAACUACGUGCCAGCAGCCGCGGUAAUACGUAGGGGGCAAGCGUUAUCCGGAUUUACUGGGUGUAAAGGGAGCGUAGGUGGCAUGGCAAGUGAGAUGUGAAAACCCGGGGCCCAACCCCGGGAGUGCAUUUGAAACUGUCUGGCUAGAGUGCAGGAGAGGUAUGUGGAAUGCGUGGUGUAGCGGUGAAAUGCAUAGAUAUUAGGAGGAACACCAGUGGCGAAGGCGGCUUACUGGACUGUAACUGACACUGAGGCUCGAAAGCGUGGGGAGCGAACAGGAUUAGAUACCCGUGUAGUC